RNAcentral lists this ribosomal RNA (492 nucleotides) under uncultured bacterium. RNAcentral describes it as "partial 16S ribosomal RNA". It matches the Rfam family "Bacterial small subunit ribosomal RNA", at positions 29 to 507 of the family's 1533-position model. The record is from RNAcentral.
AGUGAACGCUGGCGGUAGGCCUAACACAUGCCAGUCGAACGGCAGCACAGUAAGAGCUUGCUCUUACGGGUGGCGAGUGGCGGACGGGUGAGGAAUACAGCGGAAUCUACUUUUUCGUGGGGGAUAACGUAGGGAAACUUACGCUAAUACCGCAUACGACCUACGGGUGAAAGCAGGGGAUCUUCGUACCUUGCGCGAUUGAAUGAGCCGAUGUCGGAUUAGCUAGUUGGCGGGGUAAAGGCCCACCAAGGCGACGAUCCGUAGCUGGUCUGAGAGGGUGAUCAGCAACACUGGAACUGAGACACGGUCCAGACUCCUACGGGAGGCAGCAGUGGGGAAUAUUCGGCAAUGGGCGAAAGCCUGAUCCAGCAAUACCGCGUGAGUGAAGAAGGCCUUCGGGUUGUAAAGCCCUUUUGGUAGGAAAGAAAAGCAGCAGGUUAAUACCGCGCUGUUCUGAAGGUAAACAAAGAAUAAACACAGGCUAACUUCGUG